AGCAGCCGCGGUAAUUCCAGCUCCAAUAGCGUAUAUUAAAGUUGUUGCAGUUAAAAAGCUCGUAGUUGAAUUUCGGGGUCAGUAGGUCGGUCGUGCCACUGGUAUGAACUGGUUUUACUGAUUCCUCCCUCUUGAAGAACUGUAAUGCCAUUAAUUUGGUGUUGCAGGGAAUCAGGACUGUUACUUUGAAAAAAUUAGAGUGUUUAAAGCAGGCUUUAGCUUGAAUACAUUAGCAUGGAAUAAUGAAAUAGGACGUUUGAUCCUAUUUUGUUGGUUUCUAGGAUUGACGUAAUGAUUAAUAGGGAUAGUUGGGGGCAUUAGUAUUCAAUUGUCAGAGGUGAAAUUCUUGGAUUUAUUGAAGACUAACUACUGCGAAAGCAUUUGCCAAGGAUGUUUUCAUUAAUCAAGAACGAAAGUUAGGGGAUCGAAGACGAUCAGAUACCGUCGUAGUCUUAACCAUAAACUAUGCCGACUAGGGAUCGGAUGAUGUUAAUUUUUAAUGUACUCAUUCGGCGCCUUA
RNAcentral lists this ribosomal RNA (520 nucleotides) under uncultured Glomus. RNAcentral's name for it is "SSU rRNA". It matches the Rfam family "Eukaryotic small subunit ribosomal RNA", at positions 569 to 1090 of the family's 1831-position model. Lineage: Eukaryota; Fungi; Glomeromycota; Glomeromycetes; Glomerales; Glomeraceae. The record is from RNAcentral.